AUAGUUUGUGUUUAGCAGGCUCUGUGGUCUCUGUCACACUACUCCAUUCUGCCAUGGUAGCAGAAAGCAGCCAGUGACAAGUAAAUGUGUGUGCCUGGGUACCAGUUCAACUUCCUUUCAGGAUGCUGAAAUCUGAAAAUUAUGAUUAUCACGUGCCACUAAAUAUUAAGCUGCUUUGACUUUUAAAAAUUCACUUAAAAGUAUGAUUUUUUAGCCAAUGGGCCAUACAGAAACAGGUGGCAGGCCAGAUUCAGCUGGGUCAUGGUUUGCUGACCCCUGGUUUAGAGGAUAUGUAAAACUUUUUAUCACUUUGAGAAUUUUUAAAAUUUUAUUCCAUGAACAUAUAAGUACUGAUAAAUCAUACGCACAUACCCUCUGCUAGUAGCAUGAGAGCGGCAUCACAAAUGUUUAAUUACAAUAGUAGGAAGGCGGUGUAAAAAUGCAGUAUCCAGGCAUACAGCUUAAAUUCUACUUGUAGCUCUGUAAAGGGUCUAAGCGUUUUAUUGAGAUCUAAUUUUGACUUUUGAGAAAUUCUCCUACCAGUGAUAAAGAUGAUGCUCUUUAAGACACAGGUGGGGACCCUAUGCCUUUUAAAGUCUCUGCUUAGUUGAAACGGAACCUAAACAUUAAGGUACAGGAUUCUUAAAUUAUUUCGAAACAGAGUUUGAAAUUGUUUCAUCGUCUUUAGCAGGGAUAAAGUAAUACAUGAUUUUCUCUUAUGCCUUUCAGUUAACAGCCUUUAUUAGGAAUUUCAUUGAAUUUAUGGGGCAUAGAAAUAGGUAUUUACUACCCAUUCAUAUCUACUGUUGAUAUCUGGUCGUGCAUCAACCAUCAUUUCUAUUAUGUCUAUUUUCGUAAUUCUCAUAUUAUUUUCAUUCAUAUCUGCAUGUGGCAAAGAGCCUGUCUUCUCAAGAUUCUAAAAAGCUGGUUCUCUGCCACCUACUGCCACUGCGCUGGCCCCCUUGGCCACAGUAUCUUACUUGUUAUUUCCAAGUCCUUCACUGUACAGACACUCAGGUAUUGACUGUAGACCAUUCUUUUCCUGUGAUAGCAUGAUCUGUAAUCUCAAUCUUUUCAACUCUCAAUGAAUGUUUCUAGAGUUAAUAGGUUAAAUUAUACGCAGUCACAUACACAGAUAUGCCUUGGAGCCUUUAUGUUUUUAAAAUUGAAAAUGGAAUCAUGGGUUAUGAUUUAAAGGUAAAGAGAGUAAAUAAAAGUAGGCGGAAUCACAACCAGAAAUAAGUAUCAGUGCAUUGAAAUAAAGGAAUGAAAAAUAUUUAAUGUUAAAAAUUAGUAAUAUAAUGAAAAAAAUCUGAUAAGUUUGUCUCCUUUUUUGUUACAUACUGCUGUUGAGUUUUGUACACUAUAAUUACGUGUUGCUAGUGCUUCUUGGUCUCUAGAUUCUUUGUGGCCCUUAGUAUAGUAGUUGCAUUGCUGACACCCUGACUACCCUCUGCUGGAACAGAGGCAGUCUUUCUAGUGCACCGGUCCCUUAGUCUACAGCACCCUCAGUUUAAGCACCCUUGCUAGCAUCUGGCAUCCUACUAAAUUAGAGCCUCUUAAGGCAUAUUGAUUUUCUUUCAAAGACCAACUUGACUCCAGAAAGUGAUUCAGAAUCCUACUUCACUUGCUGCUGCAUAAAGAUAUCUUAACCUUCAUUUUAUUUUCACACAGGCCAGAAUGUUCCUGCCUCUGAGUUGUCUGUGAGCUAAUUCUGCAGAUGCUCAGUGAGGAAUUAAAGCAUUUGCUGUAGAACACAUGGGCCUGAAGCCCAUCUUCUUUCUCAUGGUGAGGCAUAUGUCGUGGCAGUACUUGAUAUGGUCACUUUUUUGAAACAAGCUUGUUCAAAUUGUGCUUUUGUUUGAAGUUCUAAUCUUAUAGAUUUGUGAGCAUGGUUCUUUUUUUUUUUUUCAUAUUGAUUGUGUGUAGAAGUAAGUCGUGGUCAUAGGCUAGAGACAGACAAAAGCUGCUUUUCCGUGGCAAUGUUACCAACAGAUAAGGUAUUUAUGAACAUUGAGAAAAUCAGGACAUGUGCUCUAAAUCGCAUGGAAUAUUAAUGACACUAGAAGGGAAUGCCAGUCAUCAGAAAAGGAUUACAUUUGAAAUUGUAACAGCAUUGUAAUAAUGAAACUUAACUUUUCAGAGAUGUAGUGAAGAUAUGUUAGAAUUGCCACGUCUACAUCUUUAAACACACAACCUGGGUGCCCUAAUCACUGCCGAUGGUAUAAUCAGUAAGAAUGAGAUUGACGAGUCUGUCAAUCAUCUCAUCUGUUAUAUGAAAAUGUCAAGUACAGAACUUUUAUGUACUUAUCAAGUGUCUCUUUUGUUGUGCCGUAACUCUGCCAACUUGGUAGAAACAACUUGGUAGCCUUCAGUCAGGAAACAGUCUUUAAAGUUUGUGAAGUACGAGGAAGUGCCAUUUCUCCUCGUUUGAUGGGAGUGGUUUUACCAGUUGUGUUGGCUCUCUGGACUUGGCACUGUGAAUGAGCAUAACCAGGCUUCUUAACAGUGGCUCACCUGCUAGCUCUUUCAGGAAUGAUGAGGGUUUUUUAAUGCACCUUACAAUUCCAAACCAUCCAGGUUCCAAAGAAGAAAAAUAAAGAGACAUAAUGAUUUUUGUUUUAUUCCUAUUCUGCGAUAAUUGACUUGACAUACCAGUGGCAUGCCCUCUGAAAAUCCUUCACGAUGUAAGGAAAAUAAAUCUGACGCUGCGAAGAAAGUGCCUAUUAGCCUGUGAAGAAAGUACCUGUUAACCUCCUUAGCCCCAGCCUCAUCUUCAGAUCUGGCUGUGUCUGAUGUGCAAAGGAUACCAUUUAUAUGGAUGCUGGAUUAGAAGAGUCCCUAAGAGCCUUUCUUCAAACAACUUCAAUUUCUAGUAUGCCCCCCAUUAUGUAUCUGGGAUGCCUUAAUCAAUAUUUAGAACCCCAACUUGAUUGGUACUUCAUUAACCAACGCUUAGAGGCAGACCAAUUUAGAAACAGAUUUUGUGCUUUGGUUUUAUAUUUGUAGUUUGCAGCUGUUAUUAUGACCUAACAUCCCAGGGUUGGAGUCAAAAGUCAUAUCUCCUGGUAAAGAAAAAAAAGGCAGAGACUUGACUCUUUACUAAAGGUUUCCCACUUAAGGUAAAAUUGCUAUUUACUUUUGCCUCCACCUUGGUUACCUUCCAAAAUCAAACACUUCUUACAGAUAAGUAGUCUGUUGAAUAGUCUUCUGAAGAGUCUGAUUCUUGCCUCUCUCUUGUUGAUCCACAGACAUAAUUCAGGUAUUUAUCAAGGAGCCUCACAUCUCCUGACCCUAGUCACUGUAUCCAUCCUUUGUCACAAGUAUCUCCCUGCCUCCAAUCUGUGAGGUAGCAACUCUUGGAUAAAUUCAGGCUUAUGAAUGACAUGGACUUUUAGAGGAUCAGGUAAAUAAAUAGGGUUUUUCACUUUUUUAGGGCAGUUGAAUUCACUGUUUUGAAUAAGGAAUCUCAAGUAAGUUGACAGCCCUACAGCAAGCCAUAGGCAGAAAAGUGAUCUGCGUAUUUUAGACCAAAGUUUAGAAGCUGUUGCAUGACUUAAGGAGCUGAACAGGUCAUCCUUUCUCUCCUUGGCACCCGGAAGAGAGAGAUGUCAAGUUCAGAGGCAAAACAUUACAUUCUUGGUGCCACAGGGAGAAAUGGAGGCUGUGUGCCACUGAAGAGUCUCAAAAGGCAGGGGCCACUUGCAGUUAUUAGAGACAUAAAUAUCCUCCAUCCGCCAAGAUGUUCACAUUCAGGGCCACGUGAGGACCUUAAAUGCUGGAGGGAGUGCUUCCUCACCUUAAUUAGAUGAUUACCUUCUCCCCUUUGUACCACCCCUUGGCAGUGUUUCUCGUGAUCUUUGUCCUUCCAAGGUUAACAGCAGCCCAACUUUGCCUUUGACCCCACUGUCUGUUAGAUUAAAAGUGUGCAUUGUUUUUUCUAUGGCAGUGAGUUCGAGAUUUCAUAUCUGCCUCUGUGUCUUCCAUCAUGAUUUAUUCUUAAAAGCCAAGAUAUCAUCACACAUGGAAGGCCGUGAUUUCAAGAGUGUUCUCUUUGAACUCUGAGCUGAAACUUCUACAGAUAAAUAAGGAGUGUGGCAGGGAAGAUGACUGUCUUGUUUUUUGUUUUAAUUCAGAAUCCUAUUUAUAUACUGUUAAAAUUUGAGGUACUAUAGUUUAUGUAAAAGUUGAAUAUUUAGAUGAUAUAUUUCAGUACUAGGAAUUUGUCUGCGGCCAUUAACGUAACAAAUUAAGUAAUAAAUGUGAUGAAAAUGAUUGUCAGUAAAUUAUCAUAUUGAAUUUUUUGUUUAUUUUGUAGUGUUUUUGUAUUUAUCUGCACUUUGUGUAUAUAUACACACAUACGUAUACGAACAUGUAAAUAACCUCAUGUUAUUCCUUAUCUCAAUUGCCACAUUAUCUUUAAUGUAUGUUUACACUGUAUUUUAAAUUACUUUAAAAAUAAACUAUGAAACACAAUUUAGUCUUGGUACUUGAAAAUCCACUGUGUUAGAGGUCAACUGUCCUGGAUUCAUACAGAGAAAAACCAAAGUUUCAGGCACUGUAAGUGGUCAUUUUGGGCGUGGCUGAGUGGAAAAUCGAAGCAGAAUUGGUCAUCUUUUCCUGACAAAUGGACCUUUUUUCAAGAAAUUGGCAUUAUGAAAGAUCAAGAAAAUUUUAAUGUUGGUACGUCUUAAUAAUGCAGAUGUCAACAGGAAAGAAAAGCAAACAGACCAUAAACAAAUGAUCAAGAACACAGAUUUUUUGGCUUACCUGAAAAUAAAAGUCUACAAAAGUUUACAGGUAUGUUCUGGAAGAAGUAUCAGCAUACAGAUAAUCCGCUUAGACUUUUUUGGUCACUGUUUGACUACUAAAUAAAAUUUUGCUUGUCCUCAU
This 4893-nucleotide long non-coding RNA is filed under the name Sus scrofa (pig). RNAcentral's name for it is "lncRNA (ENSSSCG00000061235.1)". The record is from RNAcentral. Lineage: Eukaryota; Metazoa; Chordata; Mammalia; Artiodactyla; Suidae.